GUGCCAGCCGCCGCGGUAAUACCGGCAGCCCGAGUGAUGGCCGAUCUUAUUGGGCCUAAAGCGUCCGUAGCUGGCUGCGCAAGUCCGUCGGGAAAUCCACUCGCCCAAUGAGUGGGCGUCCGGUAGAAACUGGUCGGCUUGGAACCGGAAGGCUCAGAGAGUACGUCCGGGGUAGGAGUGAAAUCCCGUAAUCCCGGACGGACUACCGAUGGCGAAAGCACUCCGAGAAGACGGCUUCGACAGUGAGGGACGAAAGCUCGGGUCUCAAACCGGAUUAGAAACCCUUGUAGUCC
RNAcentral lists this ribosomal RNA (293 nucleotides) under uncultured bacterium. RNAcentral's name for it is "partial 16S ribosomal RNA". It matches the Rfam family "Archaeal small subunit ribosomal RNA", at positions 455 to 747 of the family's 1478-position model. The record is from RNAcentral.